RNAcentral lists this ribosomal RNA (369 nucleotides) under Triticum aestivum (bread wheat). RNAcentral describes it as "partial small subunit ribosomal RNA". Lineage: Eukaryota; Viridiplantae; Streptophyta; Magnoliopsida; Poales; Poaceae. The record is from RNAcentral.
AUGAGCUUUUAUAGCCUCCAUGAAACGCUGCACACGGAAAUUGCCAAGUACCAAUCCAGGUUCUAUUGGGCUGGCGACGAUGACAAACAGAAGUACCACAUGGUUAGUUGGCAGGACAUUUGUAAACCCAAAGACCAUGGGGGUCUUGGGAUUCUGUCCUCCCGCCGCAUGAACAUCGCCCUCCUGACCCGGUGGUUAUGGCGUAUUGCUAAUGGGGAUGGAGGGUUGUGGCUCACCAUUAUCCGCAACAAAUACCUCCGUGGACAGCCUCUGGCUUUCUGUCAGCGUUCGGGCGGAUCACAGUUUUGGCAGGCCAUCGUUCAGCUGCUUCCUGUGCUUCGCAUUGGCACGUUUAAAAUACAUGGAUGA